Molecule: ribosomal RNA, 484 nt
Filed under: uncultured bacterium
Lineage: Bacteria
Description: partial 16S ribosomal RNA
Rfam family: Bacterial small subunit ribosomal RNA
Source: RNAcentral
AUUGAACGCUGGCGGCAGGCCUAACACAUGCAAGUCGAGCGGAUGAAGGGAGCUUGCUCCUGGAUUCAGCGGCGGACGGGUGAGUAAUGCCUAGGAAUCUGCCUGGUAGUGGGGGAUAACGUCCGGAAACGGGCGCUAAUACCGCAUACGUCCUGAGGGAGAAAGUGGGGGAUCUUCGGACCUCACGCUAUCAGAUGAGCCUAGGUCGGAUUAGCUAGUUGGUGGGGUAAAGGCCUACCAAGGCGACGAUCCGUAACUGGUCUGAGAGGAUGAUCAGUCACACUGGAACUGAGACACGGCCCAGACUCCUACGGGAGGCAGCAGUGGGGAAUAUUGGACGAUGGGCGAAAGCCUGAUCCAGCCAUGCCGCGUGUGUGAAGAAGGUCUUCGGAUUGUAAAGCACUUUAAGUUGGGAGGAAGGGCAGUAAGUUAAUACCUUGCUGUUUUGACGUUACCAACAGAAUAAGCACCGGCUAACUUCGUG